CAUUUCAGGCUGCAGCUUUGUCUCUGACCUCUUAUUGGGCAGUGAUUUCAGCCCUGUUUUAUUGCAACCAGUGGCGGCUAUUUUCAAGCCACAUCUUCAUCUUCUGUCCAACAUGAGGCCACGACCUGGGCUCUGAACCAGUUUUUGGGUCAUGACUUCAGCUCUGGUCCCUGCUCCUGCCCCUAUCUGGGUCAUGACUUCAGCUCCACUCCCAUAUAGGGCUAUGAAUUCUAUUCCAACCUCAUCUUGAGAUGCAGCAUCAGUGGCACUGCCUGAGACAGGUCUGGCUUAACAACAGAUUGCUACUUCACUCCAGUGUCUGUUUGGUUUGUGACUUUAGCUAGGGUUGGAUAGCAGGUUGUGACUUUGGCUCUAGGCCCAUGUUGGUCUGUUCUUCAUCUCAGUGGUCAUGAUUUUGGCUCUGGCCCAAUAAUUGUCUGUGACUUCAGUUUCUGCCCUACCUUUGGCCACCACUUGCCUCCAACUCAAAUUUGGCUCUGGUCCAUGCUCAGGCAGCAAGUGCUGCUCUGGCUGCUGUAUAGGCAGCAGUGUAGUCUCUGGCCCCCAUCUCUGGCCAUGGCUUUGGUUCUAGUCCAUCAUGGCUUAUGAUUUUUUUGGCUCUGACACUACCUCAGGUGGCAACUGCUGCUUUGGCCUGAUACUGGGCUGUGAUUUUUGUUCCAGUCUCUGUUGGGAUGUUACUUUGACUCUAGGCCCAUCUUCAGCUGCUCUGGUCAUUGCUUGGGCUGUGGUUUUUGUCUCUUGCCAUCUUAAGCCACACCUUAGGCUCCAGCCACACAGUGAGUUGUGGUGUAGGCUCUGGCUCUGCAUUGGUUUGCAACUUCAGCUCCAGCCCCAUCUUGGCAUGUGAUUUCAGAUCUGGCCUCAGCUUGGACCUUGACAUCUACUCUAGUUCCAUCCUGGGGCCCCAGUUUUGGCAUUGAUUCCCUGCUCUGAUCACAGCAUGUACUCUUCUCUUGGGUUGUAACUUUCAGUCUAGCCUUACAUUUGAGUGCUGUUCCAAUUUCAGGUGGAGCCCCAUUGCAGGUUGCAGCUUUGUCAACUAUCAGGCCGUAAGGUUCGUUCCAGGGCACUACUUCAGCUUCUACUUGGGCUGUGACUUCGUUUUCAGCUUCUGCUCUGGCAGGCACUCAGUGCCUUCAUGUAUGCACCUAUUGCAGAGGUAAACAGGUGAUGCUCUACAGCAGUGUUACGUGUGAGGCCGGGAGCAGACAGAAGCGUGGCACAGGAAUAAUUGUGAAGAGUAGUACUUUCACAUUUUGUUUGGGAAGAUAACCCCUUUAAAUAACAGACAACAUUUUUCAUUGACUUUCAAAUAUAUCAAACAAAUGGAAUGCGGCAAAGGAAGAGGAAACAAUGUGUUAUAUGGACAAGACUUCAGGGGCUUUGUGCUCAGUUGCUCUACCUUGUCAACAUAAGGUGUUAAGAUGGGUGGAGGGAGCUCUUAUCACAAUUUCUUUCUAUUCGAAAGCCAGGGAAGCUAACAUCAGCACCAAAGGAAAAAAGAAAGCCCAUCUUUAUAUUACAGUAGAAAACUGUAUAUAGAAGUUAUAGAAGACCUGAGUUUCCAAUAUUUAGAGAUGCUGCAUUAUUAGUAUCAUUAUCCAUUUCUACCUAAUAAUUUAAGCCUUCUUCUGAGCAUGCAGACACUUUAGCAUCAGGAACAAUAACAGGCAGUAAUUUACUAACAGUUACUAGAACCUACAAUCUGAAGGCCUAUUGCCAGAGUAUAAAAUGGAAACCUAGUAAGAUGUGACAGACAGCACUAACCGUGCUGUUUCAUAAACUGCCACUGUUUAGUCUCGUAUCAUGAGCAGUCAUUCUGAAAGUUAUUUUUCCACUUCAACAGGGUCCUGCUCUUCUGGCAUGACAAACUGAAGCUUUGUUAUAAUUAGUUACUAGUUAAAUAUUUGUUUUCCUCAGCCAAAUACCUACUUUAGCAGCUAGCUUUAGAGUUUCAAGAAAAGUAAUCUUCACUCUAUAUGAAAUGUCUGGAUGUAAGCAUCAACCUGAAUUCAACCAAAGCAAAUAUUUUUAUAGCUAAAGACCUUUAUUCCUCUGACAUGAGCUAAAUUUAGAAUGACAUUUCGAUCUAUAGCUCCCAGAAAGGGCAAUUAUGCCAGCUGGUUAGAGUAACUAAAACAAACACUUGUGCAGUAAGGCAUUCUGAUGUCAGUGUCCCAUCCUUGCCACCAUGAACUGUCCUUGUUUCACGCUUUCUAUUAUUAAAUAUACAACAUUAGCAGUCCAGAGAUAAAUAUUUGCUCAUAUUUAGCAAAUUUAGCAAAACUAUUUGCAGAUAAAUAAAACCUCUUUCAUCUGAACUAGCAAACUAGCAGCUUAUAGUUGAUGUAGUGAUGUUUUUCUAAUAAAUGCCAUUUUCCAGAGCAGUAUCUGGCCCAUGCUAUAACUAAAAGAAACUAAAAUUAGAAUACUUAAUUUAUCUUUUUUUUUUUUCAACCACACAAAUAUUUAAUUUCCAAUUAAAAAGUCUGGCCCACAGUAGCAAUUUUUUCAGUGGAUGGUAGGAAAGACAGGAAACAGAAAUAAAAAAGGAAAGGAUAUACAUAGAUUGUGAACAGCUAAAUGAGGUUAAUGAUAUGAAAAUCCAGUGAUGAGGGAAGAUGGGAUGAAGCAGGGAAGAAGUGGUGAAAUACCCCGACGUCCAACAGCAAAAAAAGAAAAGGUCUAUGAAGAUCUCACCUAAUCAGGAUUCCAAAUCCCUCUCUUUACCUUUUAAGAGGUUACUAAUAAUUUCAGUGCUGUUUACAUCCAUGCAUAAUUCUGGGGAGAUGAGCAUUCCUUCAAACAUUGGCAACACACUUGGUACACAGCAAUAACUGGAUGACAGCAGUAUGUAUGUGACACUCUCAUGAACCCUAUAUACUUUCAAUAUUAACCUUAUAUUUUAGUUAAAAUGUAGCCACAUUUCCCCAUUACAUAUAAAGGCACUUUUUAACAUGCAAUAAUAAUUUAUAUGUCCUUUCACCUGUGAAAGUCAGUCUCAAUUCAACCGUGGUAUUGUGCAUUGCAACAAAAUAUCAACUUACUUCAUGGCUGCAUAGUAAAAGGAUCCAAACCAUACAGUGGAAGUCAGAAGAUGCACUGGAAUCAUGACUUUUCCAUACUGUUUAAAAGUUUUCUUGAAUCUCUGAACGAGACUAAUUGAUUUAUCUUGUAAUGGAUCAGGAUCUAAAGGAUCUGACUCUGCAGGGCUCUGCUUGGGUGUAUCAGUGGCCGAAGGCAAGGGAUUUCUCUCUUCUUUGUGAGGAGUGUCUGCU
Long non-coding RNA from Pseudopipra pipra, 3302 nucleotides. RefSeq lists it as uncharacterized. The transcript is spliced from 3 exons. The record is from RefSeq and is a predicted model, not a curated record. Lineage: Eukaryota; Metazoa; Chordata; Aves; Passeriformes; Pipridae.